This 218-nucleotide ribosomal RNA is filed under the name uncultured bacterium. RNAcentral's name for it is "partial 16S ribosomal RNA". It matches the Rfam family "Bacterial small subunit ribosomal RNA", at positions 1282 to 1500 of the family's 1533-position model. The record is from RNAcentral.
CGUUACUCAGUUCAGAUUGCAGGCUGCAACCCGCCUGCAUGAAGUCGGAAUUGCUAGUAAUCGCGGAUCAGCAUGCCGCGGUGAAUACGUUCCCGGGCCUUGUACACACCGCCCGUCACACCAUGGGAGCCGGUAAUACCCGAAGUCAGUAGUCCAACCACGUGAGGACGCUGCCGAAGGUAGGAUUGGCGACUGGGGUGAAGUCGUAACAAGGUAUC